This 254-nucleotide ribosomal RNA is filed under the name uncultured bacterium. Its description in RNAcentral is "partial 16S ribosomal RNA". It matches the Rfam family "Bacterial small subunit ribosomal RNA", at positions 524 to 776 of the family's 1533-position model. The record is from RNAcentral.
UACGUAGGGUCCGAGCGUUGUCCGGAAUUACUGGGCGUAAAGAGCUCGUAGGUGGUUUGUCGCGUUGUUCGUGAAAACUCACAGCUCAACUGUGGGCGUGCGGGCGAUACGGGCAGACUAGAGUACUGCAGGGGAGACUGGAAUUCCUGGUGUAGCGGUGGAAUGCGCAGAUAUCAGGAGGAACACCGGUGGCGAAGGCAGGUCUCUGGGCAUUAACUGACGCUGAGGAGCGAAAGCAUGGGGGAGCGAACAGG